This 293-nucleotide ribosomal RNA is filed under the name uncultured bacterium. RNAcentral's name for it is "partial 16S ribosomal RNA". It matches the Rfam family "Archaeal small subunit ribosomal RNA", at positions 455 to 747 of the family's 1478-position model. The record is from RNAcentral.
GUGCCAGCCGCCGCGGUAAUACCGGCAGCCCAAGUGAUGGCCGCUGUUAUUGGGCCUAAAGCGUCCGUAGCUGGCCGCACAAGUCCGUCGGGAAAUCCGCCCGCUCAACGGGCGGCCGUCCGGCGGAACCUGUGUGGCUUGGGACCGGGAGGCCUGAGGGGUACGUCCGGGGUAGGAGCGAAAUCCCGUAAUCCCGAACGGACCACCGAUGGCGAAAGCAUCUCGAGAAAACGGAUCCGACAGUGAGGGACGAAAGCUGGGAUCUCGAACCGGAUUAGAAACCCGGGUAGUCC